UACAGAGGGUGCAAGCGUUGUUCGGAAUCACUGGGCGUAAAGCGCACGUAGGCGGCUUUUUAAGUCAGGGGUGAAAUCCUGGAGCUCAACUCCAGAACUGCCUUUGAUACUGAGAAGCUUGAGUCCGGGAGAGGUGAGUGGAACUGCGAGUGUAGAGGUGAAAUUCGUAGAUAUUCGCAAGAACACCAGUGGCGAAGGCGGCUCACUGGCCCGGUACUGACGCUGAGGUGCGAAAGCGUGGGGAGCAAACGGG
RNAcentral lists this ribosomal RNA (253 nucleotides) under uncultured bacterium. RNAcentral's name for it is "partial 16S ribosomal RNA". It matches the Rfam family "Bacterial small subunit ribosomal RNA", at positions 524 to 776 of the family's 1533-position model. The record is from RNAcentral.